This 484-nucleotide ribosomal RNA is filed under the name uncultured bacterium. RNAcentral's name for it is "partial 16S ribosomal RNA". It matches the Rfam family "Bacterial small subunit ribosomal RNA", at positions 30 to 507 of the family's 1533-position model. The record is from RNAcentral.
AUUGAACGCUGGCGGCAGGCCUAACACAUGCAAGUCGAGCGGAUGAAGGGAGCUUGCUCCUGGAUUCAGCGGCGGACGGGUGAGUAAUGCCUAGGAAUCUGCCUGGUAGUGGGGGAUAACGUCCGGAAACGGGCGCUAAUACCGCAUACGUCCUGAGGGAGAAAGUGGGGGAUCUUCGGACCUCACGCUAUCAGAUGAGCCUAGGUCGGAUUAGCUAGUUGGUGGGGUAAAGGCCUACCAAGGCGACGAUCCGUAACUGGUCUGAGAGGAUGAUCAGUCACACUGGAACUGAGACACGGCCCAGACUCCUACGGUAGGCCGCAGUGGGGAAUAUUGGACGAUGGGCGAAAGCCUGAUCCAGCCAUGCCGCGUGUGUGAAGAAGGUCUUCGGAUUGUAAAGCACUUUAAGUUGGGAGGAAGGGCAGUAAGUUAAUACCUUGCUGUUUUGACGUUACCAACAGAAUAAGCACCGGCUAACUUCGUG